This 243-nucleotide long non-coding RNA is filed under the name Physcomitrium patens. RNAcentral's name for it is "long non-coding RNA (PPAT_LNC014186)". The record is from RNAcentral. Lineage: Eukaryota; Viridiplantae; Streptophyta; Bryopsida; Funariales; Funariaceae.
UCUCAUCAUCUUGCAAUGUACCUAUCUUGCGUAACUGUCCUUCAAUAUCAUAUAAUCUUUUUCUUUCUUUUUUUUUAAAAUCAUCAACUUUCUUAUACAUAAUAUUUCCAUUCUCCAAUAUACCAAUAAAACUCGCAUCAAAGGCACCUUCAUCUCACGAGAGUACCUCCUCUUUUGUACCUCCAUAAUCUCGCUUUACAGUGGUACCUCCCCAAAAUCCUUAAAUCCUUCAACAAUCUUUGG